GAUGAACGCUGGCGGCGUGCCUAAUACAUGCAAGUCGAGCGAACAGACGAGGAGCUUGCUCCUCUGACGUUAGCGGCGGACGGGUGAGUAACACGUGGAUAACCUACCUAUAAGACUGGGAUAACUUCGGGAAACCGGAGCUAAUACCGGAUAAUAUAUUGAACCGCAUGGUUCAAUAGUGAAAGACGGUUUUGCUGUCACUUAUAGAUGGAUCCGCGCCGCAUUAGCUAGUUGGUAAGGUAACGGCUUACCAAGGCAACGAUGCGUAGCCGACCUGAGAGGGUGAUCGGCCACACUGGAACUGAGACACGGUCCAGACUCCUACGGGAGCCAGCAGUAGGGAAUCUUCCGCAAUGGGCGAAAGCUUGCCGGAGCAACGCCGCGUGAGUGAUGAAGGUCUUCGGAUCGUAAAACUCUGUUAUUAGGGAAGAACAAAUGUGUAAGUAACUAUGCACGUCUUGACGGUACCUAAUCAGAAAGCCACGGCUAACUACGUG
RNAcentral lists this ribosomal RNA (497 nucleotides) under uncultured bacterium. RNAcentral describes it as "partial 16S ribosomal RNA". It matches the Rfam family "Bacterial small subunit ribosomal RNA", at positions 28 to 507 of the family's 1533-position model. The record is from RNAcentral.